This 247-nucleotide long non-coding RNA is filed under the name Rattus norvegicus (Norway rat). RNAcentral describes it as "long non-coding RNA NONRATT017770". The record is from RNAcentral. Lineage: Eukaryota; Metazoa; Chordata; Mammalia; Rodentia; Muridae.
AGACACUUCCUUACGGUCUCGCGGCUCUGAGAGUACGAGGGCAAGGCAGGCAGCAGUUGUCUCUGAAGCAGGACGGGAUGAUGACCAAGAGUCUGGACUGACUCAUGGGCCCCGAAGACUCCCCAGGCUGCUGAAGGAGGGGUCCCAGAGUGUGUGCACAACCAGAGUGCGAACACUGCCACCCACGGUCCCCUUUCCCCUGUCCAUCUCUCCACCUGGGCCAGGAAAAAAAACAGGAACACCAAAA